RNAcentral lists this ribosomal RNA (909 nucleotides) under Flammeovirgaceae bacterium UBA2338. RNAcentral describes it as "bacterial SSU rRNA". It matches the Rfam family "Bacterial small subunit ribosomal RNA", at positions 8 to 916 of the family's 1533-position model. The record is from RNAcentral. Lineage: Bacteria; Pseudomonadati; Bacteroidota; Cytophagia; Cytophagales; Flammeovirgaceae.
AGAGUUUGAUCCUGGCUCAGGAUGAACGCUAGCGGCAGGCCUAAUACAUGCAAGUCGAACGGUAUAAGUUGUAGCAAUAUGACUUAGAGAGUGACGUAAGGGUGCGUAACACGUAUGCAAUCUACCCUCAACAGGAGUAUAGCUCGGGGAAACUCGGAUUAACACUCCAUAAUAUCAUUUGAAGGCAUCUUCAGAUGAUUAAAACUGUGGUGGUUGAGGAUGAGCAUGCGUCUGAUUAGUUAGUUGGAGGUGUAACGGACCCCCAAGACGAUGAUCAGUAGGGGAACUGAGAGGUUGAUCCCCCACACUGGCACUGAGAUACGGGCCAGACUCCUACGGGAGGCAGCAGUAGGGAAUAUUGGUCAAUGGGUGAGAGCCUGAACCAGCCAUGCCGCGUGCAGGAAGACGGCCUUCUGGGUUGUAAACUGCUUUUAUCUGGGGAUAAAAAGCCCAUGCGUGGGACAUUGAAGGUACCAGAUGAAUAAGCACCGGCUAACUACGUGCCAGCAGCCGCGGUAAUACGUAGGGUGCAAGCGUUGUCCGGAUUUAUUGGGUUUAAAGGGUGCGUAGGCGGUCUAUUAAGUCAGUGGUGAAAUCCAACAGCUCAACUGUUGAUGUGCCAAUGAUACUGAUGGACUUGAGUACAGACGAGGUAGGCGGAAUUGACAGUGUAGCGGUGAAAUGCAUAGAUAUUGUCAAGAACACCGAUAGCGAAGGCAGCUUGCUAGCCUGUAACUGACGCUGAGGCACGAAGGUAUGGGGAUCAAACAGGAUUAGAUACCCUGGUAGUCCAUACAGUAAACGAUGAUUACUCGAUGUUGGCGAUACACAGUCAGCGUCUUAGCGAAAGCGAUAAGUAAUCCACCUGGGGAGUACGCUGGCAACAGUGAAACUCAAAGGAAUUGACGG